RNAcentral lists this transfer RNA (73 nucleotides) under Cordylochernes scorpioides. RNAcentral's name for it is "tRNA-Thr". Lineage: Eukaryota; Metazoa; Arthropoda; Arachnida; Pseudoscorpiones; Chernetidae. The record is from RNAcentral.
GUCCAGGGGCGGGAAUCGAACCCACACCCUUCUGCUUACCGGGCAGGUGCCUUGUCCACGCGGCUACCCUGGA